Molecule: unclassified non-coding RNA, 327 nt
Filed under: soil metagenome
Description: partial contains 5.8S ribosomal RNA, internal transcribed spacer 2, and large subunit ribosomal RNA
Rfam family: 5.8S ribosomal RNA (bases 1-120)
Source: RNAcentral
GAUGAAGAACGUAGCGAAAUGCGAUAAGUAAUGUGAAUUGCAGAAUUCAGUGAAUCAUCGAAUCUUUGAACGCACAUUGCGCCCCUUGGUAUUCCGAGGGGCAUGCCUGUUCGAGCGUCAUUAUAACCCCUCAAGCUCAGCUUGGUGUUGGGGCCUGCUGCACUGGCAGCCCUUAAAAUCAGUGGCGGCGCCAUCUGGCUCUAAGCGUAGUAAUUCUUCUCGCUAUGGAGUCCUGGUGGAUGCUUGCCAUCAACCCCCAAUUUUUCUAUGGUUGACCUCGGAUCAGGUAGGGAUACCCGCUGAACUUAAGCAUAUCAAUAAGGAGGA